UUCGAUUAGAUACCCCCGUAGUCCCAGCCGUAAACAAUGUGCGUUAGGUGUGUCGGUAACCACGUGUUACUGAUGCGCCGAAGAGAAAUCGUGAAACGCACCACCUGGGAAGUACGGUCGCAAGGCUGAAACUUAAAGGAAUUGGCGGGGGAGCACCACAACAGGUGGAGCCUGCGGUUUAAUUGGAUUCAACGCCGGACAUCUCACCGGAUAAGACAGCUGAAUGAUUGUCAAUCUGAAGGUUUUACAUGACUAGCUGAGAGGAGGUGCAUGGCAA
RNAcentral lists this ribosomal RNA (277 nucleotides) under uncultured Methanocorpusculum sp. RNAcentral describes it as "partial 16S ribosomal RNA". It matches the Rfam family "Archaeal small subunit ribosomal RNA", at positions 724 to 1000 of the family's 1478-position model. Lineage: Archaea; Methanobacteriati; Methanobacteriota; Methanomicrobia; Methanomicrobiales; Methanocorpusculaceae. The record is from RNAcentral.